RNAcentral lists this long non-coding RNA (833 nucleotides) under Microcebus murinus (gray mouse lemur). RNAcentral's name for it is "lncRNA (ENSMICG00000048787.1)". The record is from RNAcentral. Lineage: Eukaryota; Metazoa; Chordata; Mammalia; Primates; Cheirogaleidae.
UGGAGACUCAAACAAUCAAGUAGUUGUUUGCCUCACUCACAUUCCUGAGGCAAUCUGGUUCCAGCUGAACUCCUUGGGAACAGUCUGGGCUAUGUACCCCUGGGGCAUCUGCCCCAAUUAGCAUUGACCCUUGGGGGCCUCCUUGCUGGCUCUAGGUUACUCCCAACCUCUUGAACUCUGGGUAAACCAGAUUAUUUUUAGGAGCUCUAAGCUUUCCAUAGCCCCAAGAUGAACUGGACAUCCAGGCUCACUAUCAGAAAUUCAGUCACCUUGGAAUGCUGAAACCAACAUGGCCUGUUCCAGGCUCUCUGAACCAGGAUGUGGCAGAUGAUGAUGCUAACUCUGAUGCUAGCAUGGACCACAAUUGAUUUCAAGCAAAGUCCCCUUUCAGGAUGGAGAGGGAGAGAAAGGAGACCCUUCUCAAAUCCUCUGGAGUCAGGAAUCAUUGACAAAACAGCUUUCUUCCCAAUGGAAAAGGGUCACGGAGAAAGAAACAGGUGGCGCCCGCGGAAGGAUGCAGGGCGAGACAUUGCCACCGCGGACCCGGAGCUGCGGCGAGGCCGACGCCCGCGGGGAGGGCGCCCGGCCAGGAAGCGCGGCGGGGCCGGCGGGGCGGGCGGCAGCUGGCGGGGCCGGCUCCGCGUCCUCUGGGGUCUGAGGCAGCGGCGAGAGUUGCAGUGAGUCUGAUCCCCACCUUGCACAGGGAGAGAAGCCCUGCAGCACUAGGCUCUGUGCUUCUGUCUUCUUAAUCCCUCCUCGGUUACCAUGCACGCAGAACAGUUCCCAGUUUGUCUUUCUAAAAUGAAAAAUAUUUUAACUUUGUUUAUGCCAAC